RNAcentral lists this ribosomal RNA (447 nucleotides) under uncultured bacterium. RNAcentral's name for it is "partial 16S ribosomal RNA". It matches the Rfam family "Bacterial small subunit ribosomal RNA", at positions 29 to 523 of the family's 1533-position model. The record is from RNAcentral.
AGCGAACGCUGGCGGCAGGCUUAACACAUGCAAGUCGAACGCCCCGCAAGGGGAGUGGCAGACGGGUGAGUAACACGUGGGAACGUACCCUUUGGUUUGGAAUAACGUGGGGAAACUCAAGCUAAUACCGGAUAAGCCCUUAUGGGGAAGGGUUUACUGGCUAAGGAUCGGCCCGCGUCUGAUUAGAUAUGUGGGAGGGUAAUGGCUCACCAAGGCGACGAUCAGUAGCUGGUCUGAGAGUAUGAUCAGCCACACUGGGACUGAGACACGGCCCAGACUCCUACGGGAGGCAGCAGUGGGGAAUAUUGGACAAUGGGGGCAACCCUGAUCCAGCCAUGCCGCGUGAGUGAUGAAGGCCUUAGGGUUGUACAGCUCUUUUACCCGGGACGAUAAUGACUGUACCGGGAGAAUAAGCCCCGGCUAACUUCGUGCCAGCCGCCGCCGUAA